UUAAAUAGUACGUGAAAUUGUUGAAAGGGAAACGAUUGAAGUCAGUAUGCCGGCGGGAAUCAACUUAGGGGAAACUCUGGGUGCACUUCUUCGUUUGGCAGGUUACGUCGAUUUUGGAUGUCAUAAAAUAAUUGGGGGAAGGUAGCUCCUUCGGGAGUGUUAUACCCUUGGUAGAUGUGAUGUUUGGGAUCGAGGAUUGCAACGGAUACCCUUCGGGGCUAGCGCCUAAUCUCUAAUUGGUGUUGGGUUACGGACAGCAUGCUGACCGUGAUCUAAUUACUGUUAAAAGGUUAGAGCGUGCAUAAAUUCGUUAAGGACGCUGACGUAAUGGCUUUAAACGA
This 341-nucleotide ribosomal RNA is filed under the name uncultured Glomeromycotina. RNAcentral describes it as "eukaryotic LSU rRNA". Lineage: Eukaryota; Fungi; Glomeromycota. The record is from RNAcentral.